GGUCGUAUCAAUUUAAAAGACUGCUCGG
This 28-nucleotide ribosomal RNA is filed under the name Listronotus bonariensis (Argentine stem weevil). Its description in RNAcentral is "partial 5.8S ribosomal RNA". The record is from RNAcentral. Lineage: Eukaryota; Metazoa; Arthropoda; Insecta; Coleoptera; Curculionidae.